This 574-nucleotide ribosomal RNA is filed under the name uncultured Alphaproteobacteria bacterium. RNAcentral's name for it is "bacterial SSU rRNA". It matches the Rfam family "Bacterial small subunit ribosomal RNA", at positions 78 to 686 of the family's 1533-position model. Lineage: Bacteria; Pseudomonadati; Pseudomonadota; Alphaproteobacteria. The record is from RNAcentral.
CAACGAACUUCGGGUUAGUGGCGGACGGGUGAGUAACGCGUGAGAAUCUGCCCUCAGGAGGGGGAUAACGGUUGGAAACGACCGCUAAUACCCCAUAUGCCGCGAGGUGAAAUGAAUUUCGCCUGAGGAUGAGCUCGCGUCUGAUUAGUUAGUUGGUGGGGUAAAGGCCUACCAAGACAUCGAUCAGUAGCUGGUCUGAGAGGAUGAUCAGCCACACUGGGACUGAGACACGGCCCAGACUCCUACGGGAGGCAGCAGUGGGGAAUUUUCCGCAAUGGGCGAAAGCCUGACGGAGCAACGCCGCGUGAGGGAUGAAGGCCUCUGGGCUGUAAACCUCUUUUAUCAAGGAAGAAGAUCUGACGGUACUUGAUGAAUAAGCCACGGCUAAUUCCGUGCCAGCAGCCGCGGUAAUACGGGAGUGGCAAGCGUUAUCCGGAAUUAUUGGGCGUAAAGCGUCCGCAGGCGGUCUGUCAAGUCUGCUGUUAAAGCGUGGAGCUUAACUCCAUUUCGGCAGUGGAAACUGACAGACUAGAGUGUGGUAGGGGCAGAGGGAAUUCCCGGUGUAGCGGUGAAA